Small nuclear RNA from Callithrix jacchus (white-tufted-ear marmoset), 87 nucleotides. NCBI's taxonomy places the organism in Eukaryota, Metazoa, Chordata, Mammalia, Primates, Cebidae. The record is from Ensembl.
GUGCUUGCUUCGGCAGCACAUAUACUAAAAUUGGAAUGAUACAGAGAAGAAUAGCAUGGCCAAAAUUUAAAAAAAUAAUUUAUUUUA